AUUUAAAUAGCUUAUUUGAUUAAAGUAUAAUAUUGAAGAUAUUAAGAAAAUAUAUUUUUAUUUUUAAAUA
Molecule: transfer RNA, 70 nt
Filed under: Acropyga kinomurai
Lineage: Eukaryota; Metazoa; Arthropoda; Insecta; Hymenoptera; Formicidae
Description: tRNA-Phe
Source: RNAcentral